Molecule: ribosomal RNA, 253 nt
Filed under: uncultured bacterium
Lineage: Bacteria
Description: partial 16S ribosomal RNA
Rfam family: Bacterial small subunit ribosomal RNA
Source: RNAcentral
UACGGAGGGUGCGAGCGUUGUCCGGAUUUAUUGGGUUUAAAGGGUGCGUAGGUGGCUAAUUAAGUCAGUGGUGAAAUACGGUUGCUCAACAAUCGAGGUGCCAUUGAUACUGACUAGCUUGAAAUAAUUGGAGGCUGCCGGAAUGGAUGGUGUAGCGGUGAAAUGCAUAGAUAUCAUCCAGAACACCGAUUGCGAAGGCAGGUGGCUACGAUUUGUUUGACACUGAGGCACGAAAGCAUGGGGAGCAAACAGG